Molecule: small nuclear RNA, 299 nt
Filed under: Erinaceus europaeus (western European hedgehog)
Lineage: Eukaryota; Metazoa; Chordata; Mammalia; Eulipotyphla; Erinaceidae
Description: 7SK RNA
Rfam family: 7SK RNA
About the family: 7SK was discovered as an abundant small nuclear RNA in the mid-70s but a possible function has only recently been suggested. Two independent studies have found that 7SK RNA binds the CDK9/cyclin T complex (known as elongation factor P-TEFb).
Source: Rfam by way of RNAcentral
GGAUGAGAGGGCAAUCUGGCUGUGACAUCUGUCACCCCACUGAUCGCCAGGGUUGAUUCGGCUGAUCUGGCUGGCUAGGCUGGUGUCCCCUUCCUCCCUCACCACUCCAUGUGCGUCCCCCCGAAGCUGUGCACUCGGUCCAAGAGGACGGCCUUCCCCAAAUAGAGACAGACUGGUUUUCAGUCUUGGGUAUAGUAGUAGCAGGCUGCGCUCCCCUGCUAGAACCUCCAAACAAGCACUCAAGAUAAAAGCAGAAAUUAACAGUUAUAUUGCUACAACCAAAGCACCUGGAAUUAUCU